This 367-nucleotide long non-coding RNA is filed under the name Solanum tuberosum (potato). RNAcentral's name for it is "long non-coding RNA (STUB_LNC005631)". Lineage: Eukaryota; Viridiplantae; Streptophyta; Magnoliopsida; Solanales; Solanaceae. The record is from RNAcentral.
AUAAAUGGGAACUCGGGAACUUCCUUAGUUUUUAGGCAUUUCAGUUUAAGCAUAUGAGGAUGAGGCAUUAACCCUUAGUGUCAAAAUAGAUGUAAUAUGAAAAGCACAAAAAUGUACAGCAAACAGAUGAUGAGAAUUUGGUAUGUGAUAAAUGGGAACUCAGGAACUUCCUGCGUUUUUAGGCAUUUCAGUUUAAGCGUAUGAGAAUGAGGCCUUAACCCUUGGUGUCAAAAUAGAAAAGAGAAUAGACUACAAGGGGAGGACAAUAAAACCAUCCCUACCACUACAAAAUCUGAUCACAGAGAAAAGAAUAUAUUGGAAUUGACAUAUUGACAUGUUCAAUAAGCUGUGAUGGGAGAAAGGUAAA